This 76-nucleotide transfer RNA is filed under the name Helianthus annuus (common sunflower). Its description in RNAcentral is "tRNA-Val". It matches the Rfam family "tRNA". Rfam says of the family: Transfer RNA (tRNA) molecules are approximately 80 nucleotides in length. The record is from RNAcentral. Lineage: Eukaryota; Viridiplantae; Streptophyta; Magnoliopsida; Asterales; Asteraceae.
GAUGUUUCUGUGGUGUAGCGGUUAUCACGUUUGCUUUACACACAAAGGUCUCCGGUUCGAUCCCGGGCAGGAACAU